This 100-nucleotide non-coding RNA is filed under the name Diaphorina citri (Asian citrus psyllid). RNAcentral describes it as "Eukaryotic large subunit ribosomal RNA". It matches the Rfam family "Eukaryotic large subunit ribosomal RNA", at positions 2222 to 2321 of the family's 3401-position model. The record is from Rfam by way of RNAcentral. Lineage: Eukaryota; Metazoa; Arthropoda; Insecta; Hemiptera; Psyllidae.
CUGAGGGGGGCACAGCGAGGAAGGUGCCAACCCAGGGAUGUCUAUGACUCUUUUAAGGUAGCCAAAUGCCUCGUCAUCUAAUUAGUGACGCGCAUGAAUG